CUUUUCUUGACUUCUGAGAACCAGAACUUUUUUAUUUUUAUUUUUUUACACUGCUUUGGUAUAUGGCUUGUACUGAAGUUUUUGGGGAUCUGAUACUGUUCCCAUGGGCUAUACAGCCUUCAAUGCCAAGGAUAGUGUAGUGCUGACAUCUGUGUCUGCCACAGGGCCAGCGCUGUACAUGGCCAUGGUAGACAUGCCACGUGAGAAGAUGGAGGAGAUCAGGUCCUGCAGAGUUGGGGAGUCGAACACUGGAGGCUUAGUGCCUUCUGUCUUCAUCAUUCUGACUUGAUGCUCGGCUGGGAUCAUAUUCUAACUUCCAGUGGGUGUUCUGCGCUGUCUUGGCCCUUGUGACUCCAGCACACAACAUGAAGGAAGGCAGCUUUCAACACCUCAGGUCAUAAAAUGCACCAAAAAAUGAUGUAAUGACACCGAAAUAAAUAAAGGAUGCUCAAUGAAUAGCUAAAUCCUGGAGAAACUUACACGGAAAAUGAAAACAGUUCUGACCCUUCAAGUCUUUACCCUCCUCCAUACACAAACACAGAUGGGCAAUUCACACACAUAAAUGCAAGGUUUUCAACAUCCAAUAGUUUGUAGGAAUGAAAGAAAGUAAAAAGUUAAACACUUCAUACAGUGCCUUUCCUUGUCCUUUCAAAGCUCAAAGGAAGUCAUGCAACAACAUUCUCCUUUGGGGUUGAAACC
RNAcentral lists this long non-coding RNA (699 nucleotides) under Chinchilla lanigera (long-tailed chinchilla). RNAcentral's name for it is "lncRNA (ENSCLAG00000026434.1)". The record is from RNAcentral. Lineage: Eukaryota; Metazoa; Chordata; Mammalia; Rodentia; Chinchillidae.